GUGUUCACUUUGGCAGCACAUACACCAAAAAAUCUGAACAAUACAGAGAAGAUCAGCAUGGCCCCUGGGCAAAAAUGCCACGCAAAUCAUAAAGCAUUCCAUAUUUUA
Small nuclear RNA from Ursus americanus (American black bear), 108 nucleotides. Lineage: Eukaryota; Metazoa; Chordata; Mammalia; Carnivora; Ursidae. The record is from Ensembl.